Molecule: ribosomal RNA, 549 nt
Filed under: uncultured Methanomicrobiales archaeon
Lineage: Archaea; Methanobacteriati; Methanobacteriota; Methanomicrobia; Methanomicrobiales
Description: bacterial SSU rRNA
Rfam family: Archaeal small subunit ribosomal RNA
Source: RNAcentral
GCGCGAAAACUUUACAAUGCGGGCAACCGUGAUAAGGAAACCCCGAGUGCCAGCACAGGCUGGCUGUCCACCAGUGUAAACAACUGGUGAAGAAAGGGCCGGGCAAGACCGGUGCCAGCCGCCGCGGUAAUACCGGCGGCUCGAGUGGUGGCCGCUUUUACUGGGCUUAAAGGGUCCGUAGCUGGAUCUGCAAGUCCCUUGAGAAAUCUAUCGGCUUAACUGAUAGGCGUUCAGGGGAUACUGUGGUUCUAGGGACCGGGAGAGGUAAGAGGUACUGCCGGGGUAGGAGUGAAAUCCUGUAAUCCCGGUGGGACGACCUAUAGCGAAGGCAUCUUACCAGAACGGCUCCGACAGUGAGGGACGAAAGCUGGGGGAGCAAACCGGAUUAGAUACCCGGGUAGUCCCAGCUGUAAACGAUGCGCGUUAGGUGUGUCAGUGACCACGUGUCACUGAUGUGCCGAAGGGAAACCCGUGAAACGCGCCGCCUGGGGAUACGGUCGCAAAGGCUGAAACUUAAAGGAAUUGGCGGGGGAGCACCAGAACGGGGUG